GGUUGUGGCUCAGUGGUAGAGUGCUUGCCUUGCAUGCAUGAGGCCAUGGGUUUGAUCCUCAGCACCA
RNAcentral lists this transfer RNA (67 nucleotides) under Marmota monax (woodchuck). Its description in RNAcentral is "tRNA.Ala". It matches the Rfam family "tRNA". From Rfam's summary of the family: Transfer RNA (tRNA) molecules are approximately 80 nucleotides in length. Their secondary structure includes four short double-helical elements and three loops (D, anti-codon, and T loops). Lineage: Eukaryota; Metazoa; Chordata; Mammalia; Rodentia; Sciuridae. The record is from RNAcentral.